CAUGCAAGUCGAACGGCAGCACGGGAGCAAUCCUGGUGGCGAGUGGCGAACGGGUGAGUAAAGUAUCGGAACGUGCCCAGUCGUGGGGGAUAACGUAGCGAAAGUUACGCUAAUACCGCAUACGAUCUAUGGAUGAAAGCGGGGGACCGCAAGACCUCGCGCGAUUGGAGCGGCCGAUAUCAGAUUAGGUAGUUGGUGGGGUAAAGGCUCACCAAGCCGACGAUCUGUAGCUGGUCUGAGAGGACGACCAGCCACACUGGGACUGAGACACGGCCCAGACUCCUACGGGAGGCAGCAGUGGGGAAUUUUGGACAAUGGGCGCAAGCCUGGUCCAGCCAUGCCGCGUGCAGGAUGAAGGCCUUCGGGUUGUAAACUGCUUUUGUACGGAACGAAAAGGUUUGGCCUAAUAAGCUGAGUUCAUGACGGUACCGUAAGAAUAAGCACCGGCUAACUACGUGCCAGCAGCCGCGGUAAUACGUAGGGUGCGAGCGUUAAUCGGAAUUACUGGGCGUAAAGCGUGCGCAGGCGGUUAUGUAAGACAGAUGUGAAAUCCCCGGGCUCAACCUGGGAACUGCAUUAGUGACUGCAUAGCUGGAGUACGGCAGAGGGGGAUGGAAUUCCGCGUGUAGCAGUGAAAUGCGUAGAUAUGCGGAGGAACACCGAUGGCGAAGGCAAUCCCCUGGGCCUGU
Molecule: ribosomal RNA, 689 nt
Filed under: uncultured bacterium
Lineage: Bacteria
Description: bacterial SSU rRNA
Rfam family: Bacterial small subunit ribosomal RNA
Source: RNAcentral